Myotis brandtii (Brandt's bat) is the source of this 100-nucleotide long non-coding RNA. RefSeq lists it as uncharacterized. The transcript is spliced from 3 exons. NCBI's taxonomy places the organism in Eukaryota, Metazoa, Chordata, Mammalia, Chiroptera, Vespertilionidae. The record is from RefSeq and is a predicted model, not a curated record.
CAUGAUAUAAUAUAUUAUGCUAAGACAGUGAUAGCGAAUCUAUGACAGGUGUGUCAGAGGUGACACACGAACUCAUUUUUUUGGUUGAUUUUUCUUUGUU